Molecule: ribosomal RNA, 263 nt
Filed under: uncultured bacterium
Lineage: Bacteria
Description: partial 16S ribosomal RNA
Rfam family: Bacterial small subunit ribosomal RNA
Source: RNAcentral
CGCGUCCUACGGGAGGCAGCAGUCGAGAAUCAUUCACAAUGGGGGAAACCCUGAUGGUGCGACGCCGCGUGGGGGAAUGAAGGUCUUCGGAUUGUAAACCCCUGUCAUGUGGGAGCAAAUUAAAAAGAUAGUACCACAAGAGGAAGAGACGGCUAACUCUGUGCCAGCAGCCGCGGUAAUACAGAGGUCUCAAGCGUUGUUCGGACUCACUGGGCGUAAAGCGUGCGUAGGCUGUUUCGUAGGUCGUGUGUGAAAGGCGCGGG